RNAcentral lists this ribosomal RNA (461 nucleotides) under uncultured Methylomirabilota bacterium. Its description in RNAcentral is "bacterial SSU rRNA". It matches the Rfam family "Bacterial small subunit ribosomal RNA", at positions 977 to 1435 of the family's 1533-position model. The record is from RNAcentral. Lineage: Bacteria; Methylomirabilota (SeqCode).
GGGCUUGACAUCCCACGAACCUGCCUGAAAGGGCGGGGUGCCCGCAAGGGAGCGUGGAGACAGGUGGUGCAUGGCUGUCGUCAGCUCGUGUCGUGAGAUGUUGGGUUAAGUCCCGCAACGAGCGCAACCCUCACCCCUAGUUGCCACCGGGUAAAGCCGAGCACUCGAGGGGAACUGCCAGCGUCAAGCUGGAGGAAGGCGGGGAUGACGUCAAGUCAUCAUGCCCCUUACGCCCUGGGCUACACACGUGCUACAAUGGCCAGUACAAAGGGACGCGAGACUGCAAGGUGGAGCUAAUCCCAAAAAACUGGUCUAAGUUCAGAUUGCAGUCUGCAACUCGACUGCAUGAAGGAGGAAUCGCUAGUAAUCGCGCAUCAGCACGGCGCGGUGAAUACGUUCCCGGGCCUUGUACACACCGCCCGUCACACCACGAAAGCUGUCUGUACUCGAAGUCGCUGAGA